RNAcentral lists this transfer RNA (90 nucleotides) under Betaproteobacteria bacterium. Its description in RNAcentral is "tRNA-Ser". It matches the Rfam family "tRNA". Rfam says of the family: Transfer RNA (tRNA) molecules are approximately 80 nucleotides in length. Their secondary structure includes four short double-helical elements and three loops (D, anti-codon, and T loops). Further hydrogen bonds mediate the characteristic L-shaped molecular structure. tRNAs have two regions of fundamental functional importance: the anti-codon, which is responsible for specific mRNA codon recognition, and the 3' end, to which the tRNAs corresponding amino acid is attached (by aminoacyl-tRNA synthetases). tRNAs cope with the degeneracy of the genetic code in two manners: having more than one tRNA (with a specific anti-codon) for a particular amino acid; and 'wobble' base-pairing, i.e. permitting non-standard base-pairing at the 3rd anti-codon position. Lineage: Bacteria; Pseudomonadati; Pseudomonadota; Betaproteobacteria. The record is from RNAcentral.
GGAUGGAUGGCAGAGCGGUUGAAUGCACUGGUCUUGAAAACCAGCAAGCGCGCAAGUGCUUCGGGGGUUCGAAUCCCUCUCCAUCCGCCA